UACGUAGGGUGCAAGCGUUGUCCGGAAUUAUUGGGCGUAAAGGGCUCGUAGGCGGUCUGUCACGUCGGGAGUGAAAACUCAGGGCUUAACCCUGAGCCUGCUUCCGAUACGGGCAGACUAGAGGUAUGCAGGGGAGAACGGAAUUCCUGGUGUAGCGGUGAAAUGCGCAGAUAUCAGGAGGAACACCGGUGGCGAAGGCGGGUCUCUGGGCCGAUACUGACGCUGAGGAGCGAAAGCGUGGGGAGCGAACAGG
RNAcentral lists this ribosomal RNA (253 nucleotides) under uncultured bacterium. Its description in RNAcentral is "partial 16S ribosomal RNA". It matches the Rfam family "Bacterial small subunit ribosomal RNA", at positions 524 to 776 of the family's 1533-position model. The record is from RNAcentral.